AGAGUUUGAUCCUGGCUCAGAAUCAACGCUGGCGGCGUGCCUAACACAUGCAAGUCGAACGGGAAAACGGGGGCAACUCCGUGAGUAUAGUGGCGUACGGGUGAGUAACACGUGACUACCUACCUUUGAGUGGGGGAUAACCCCGGGAAACCGGGGCUAAUACCGCAUAACAUCGCAAGAUCAAAGAAGCAAUUCGCUUAAAGAGGGGGUCGCGGCUGAUUAGCUAGUUGGUAGGGUAAUGGCCUACCAAGGCGAUGAUCGGUAGCCGGCCUGAGAGGGCGCACGGCCACACUGGAACUGAAACACGGUCCAGACUCCUACGGGAGGCAGCAGUGGGGAAUUUUGCGCAAUGGGGGAAACCCUGACGCAGCAACGCCACGUGGAGGAUGAAGUCCCUUGGGACGUAAACUCCUUUCGACCGGGACGAUUAUGACGUACCGUGAAGAAGCCUU
RNAcentral lists this ribosomal RNA (452 nucleotides) under uncultured soil bacterium. RNAcentral's name for it is "bacterial SSU rRNA". It matches the Rfam family "Bacterial small subunit ribosomal RNA", at positions 8 to 494 of the family's 1533-position model. The record is from RNAcentral.